This 916-nucleotide long non-coding RNA is filed under the name Pogona vitticeps (central bearded dragon). RNAcentral's name for it is "lncRNA (ENSPVIG00000012629.1)". The record is from RNAcentral. Lineage: Eukaryota; Metazoa; Chordata; Lepidosauria; Squamata; Agamidae.
UCCCACCUUUCUGAGUUAGUACAAAACUACCCAAGACUGUGUAUCCAAGUUAUAAUUUUGUUACCUGGAAGUAUGAAGCUCACAUGUAAUUUCUGUCUGUCUCCUCCUCCUCCUCUUAAUAGUUUCUUUUCUCCGAAGUAGCACAGAAGUAUUUCAGUGUCCACUCACUUGUACUGUUUCAUUAAAGAAAGCCUGAAGCAACAAAGCUGAGAUGCUUGCCUAGAUUCUUUAAUUAAGGCAUGCUUCAAAUAUGUUGCCUGGUCUGCUGUACAGACAGCAAGCAUGUUAUUUAAAAUUUAAUUUGAUAGACCUGCCAAACUAUACAAUAACAAUUCAGGCACCAGAUUGCUUGCUGGAAUCUACACAGGAAAUUCCAUUGCCAGAAGAAAAUGAACACUUGAAGACCAGGAUUUGGGAUACAUGGACUCCCAUCAUCCUCAGCCAUUUAUUUAUUUAUUCAAUUCAAUUGAUGGAUAUACCUUAUAGGAGUUGGGAAGCAUCCAGAAGAUGACAAAUCUUGCAUAUUUUGUCUGGACAACUGCACACUGUGUUUAUGAACAAACUUCCUGGAGCUUUGAGUGUCAGUCUGGAUUCUGGAAAGACCAUGCAGAGUCUACAGAUUAGGCAAGAACUAAAAAGUAGGGGAAGAAGGAACACAACUUCUACUGCCAACUGUAAACAACCAUGUCUAAAAUUAUGAGUACAUGAAAGUUCGUAUUUUGAUCUCAGUGUCUAUUCCAUGUAAUCGCCUGUUUGUCAUUCUGUUGCAAACUAGUAAAAUACAAUUAAAAAAAGAGAGACUCCCAUUGCAUUCUGAAAUAUGAGGUAUACACAUACCUAAUUUCCCUGAAUCCCAGGGCAGCGCUUCACUGUUUAGAUUUCUUUUGGAGCUUGAAUAAAGGAUCUGCACCUUGCA